CCAUUGCUGAGGAGCCCCAUGCUGGGGCGAAACGGCCGUCCAAUGC
RNAcentral lists this non-coding RNA (46 nucleotides) under Schistosoma margrebowiei. The record is from RNAcentral. Lineage: Eukaryota; Metazoa; Platyhelminthes; Trematoda; Strigeidida; Schistosomatidae.